This 405-nucleotide ribosomal RNA is filed under the name uncultured bacterium. RNAcentral's name for it is "partial 16S ribosomal RNA". It matches the Rfam family "Bacterial small subunit ribosomal RNA", at positions 28 to 526 of the family's 1533-position model. The record is from RNAcentral.
GACGAACGCUGGCGGCGUGCUUAACACAUGCAAGUCGAGCGGAGCGGCGAACGGGUGAGUAACGCGUGAGUAACUUCCCCCCUCCCUGGGAUAACAGUUGGAAACGGCUGCUAAUACCGGAUAGUGGGGGAUGACUCGCGUCCAAUCCGCUUGUUGGGGGGGUAGUGGCCUACCAAGGCGACGACGGGUAGCCGGCCUGAGAGGGCGACAAGCAACAUGGGGGUGAGCUACGGCCCAAACUCCUACGGGAGGCAGCGGUGGGGAAUAGUGCACAAUGGGGGAAACUCUUAUGCAGCAUCGCCGCGUGCGGGAUGACGGCCUUCGGGUUGUAAACCGCUUUCAGCCAUGACGCGGUAGUGGCAGAAGAAGCACCGGCUAACUACGUGCCAGCAGCCGCGGUAAUUC